This 406-nucleotide ribosomal RNA is filed under the name uncultured bacterium. RNAcentral's name for it is "partial 16S ribosomal RNA". It matches the Rfam family "Bacterial small subunit ribosomal RNA", at positions 29 to 526 of the family's 1533-position model. The record is from RNAcentral.
AUUGAACGCUGGCGGCAGGCCUAACACAUGCAAGUCGAACGAGUGGCGGACGGGUGAGUAAUGUGUGGGAAACUGCCUGAAGGAGGGGGGUAACUACUGGAAACGGUAGCUAAUACCGCAUACCAUCGGAUGUGCGCCGAUGGGAGUAGCUAGGAGGUGGGUUGAAGGCUCACCAAGGCGACGAUCCCUAGCUGGUCUGAGAGGAGGACCAGCCACCCGGGAACUGAGCCACGGUCCAGACUCCUACGGGAGGCAGCAGUGGGGAAUAUGGCACAAUGGGCGCAAGCCUGAUGCAGCCAUGCCGCGUGUAUGAAGAAGGCCUUCGGGUUGUAAAGUACGGUCAGCGGGGAGGCGUUACCCGCAGAAGAAGCACCGGCUAACUCCGUGCCAGCAGCCGCGGUAAUAC